AUCCGGCUGACGAGUCCCAAAUAAGACGAAAGGCGCUUUGUCCUGGAU
This 48-nucleotide non-coding RNA is filed under the name Schistosoma mansoni. Lineage: Eukaryota; Metazoa; Platyhelminthes; Trematoda; Strigeidida; Schistosomatidae. The record is from RNAcentral.